AUGAGGGCGCCAUUUCUCGGUUCAACCCGGGCCAGGAAAAUAGAACUCCCUCAUUUCACAGCGCGCGCAACGGUCACGUCCAAUGAUUAUCCAUGGGGCAAUGUUCAGUUGCUUGCUCAGUAGAACGCUCUAUGUUUUGUGUCGGGUGUUUGUCUUUAUUCGUUAAAUGUUCAUGUGAUAUUAUGUCCUAAUAUAUUGGAAUACAUUAUGUAGCCUAUUGGCCAUUUAUAUUUAAACCAGUGAAAAGUAUUGAUCAUUGAGUGAUAUACUAAUGUUCAUUGAUAAAUACCUUUUAAGGUGCAUUUUGGAUUAUCUCCGGUCAAUCAUCUGAAACUACAGCCCCCAUAGUUCCUUGCAAAAUCUCACAGACUCAGUUGCUCUGAAAUGCAUUCAACUGAGCAACAGCGCGCACACGAGUUCAGUCGGGGAAGAAUUUAGAGGUAGGUUUUUACCUACUUUCCUUGUCAAUGUACAAAGUUGUAUGUACAUUGUUUAAAACCCAAUUAUUGGUGUCAACUUCAACUAGCUAACAAGUUCACCAAUGUUCCCUGCAAUAAGAUAAUAUUAACUCGCAUGAUGGAGCUAACAUUAGCUAGAUAGUGUCAGCUACUGUAGGCAGUUAGCUAAAUUGUAUAGGCUAUUUGAUUUUAGCUGUUGCGAGCUCUCUGACAUUGUUCACUAGCAAGGGGUUUAUUAAAAUAAGCACCUACCUCUUCCAGACAAGCUUAGCUACCUUUAGCUAACUAACGUUAGGUAUUCCAGACUGGAAUCUGGUUAGCUAACGUGACUAGUUAGCUAACAUUGAAUAUGGCUCGUGCCAGCCAUGCGUGCAGAAGUUGCACCCCUGUUUUAGCGAAUACUUUUUCAAGUAACUAUGUCUGGUCUCACGCAUGCAACAUUGCAAUUACAAAUCUUUCUAACCAUGGUCGUUCGUUGUGAAUCCAAUUUUUCGGAGUGUGUCAACCCCAAGUUAAUAAAUCAGUCCAACAGAGAACAACAAAGUUAUCAUACACUGACUGCACCCAAAUAAUACUCGUUACCUGACAGCUCAGAUCUGUUAGGGUCGUUGUUUACCAUGGUUGUUACUAUAAUACGUGUGAUUUGAUGUCACUGCCCGGGAAAGGACCGCUUUGGACAUAGGGAGUUUGGUUGAGCACCAUCCCACAAAAUAAUGAAGAAUAAAGCACUCUGUCAGAAAACAAACUUUGAGUGACUAUUUGCAACCAUUAUUGUAUUUUACAGGUUCAAACAGACCAGAGGUCCAGCUGUAAACUAGCUUGCUUUCAAUCAUUGUUAAUCCAUGGAAUGGAGCAAAGGUUGACCUUGUCUCAUACAUAGAGUAUGAAAAUGGCUGCAGGUAGCACUUUAACUCCAUGUUCGUCAUUGUGAAAGGUUUCCCUCUCACCCCCUCUAAUGUUUAACACUGGAUCCUUUGUGGAACUUGUAAGGGAAGAGUGUUAACAGGAAUCUCUACUCAUUGUCUGCUUAGAACAUCUGAAUUGGUGGUUUAGGCCCUACUCUCUGGUUUCUAUGAAAAUUCCUAUACCAAGCCUCUUCACUAUAGCAAUACCACUUAGUCAUUUUAUACAGUCAGAGGUAGACUUGGGACCCCAGUGUCCACUGUCAGGCCACUACCAUGGUGGGCAAAGAUGCUAUGGUGAGUGGGGACAGGGCUGUGGAGGAAGAGGCUGAACUUGACCUGAAGGAGACCUCCCCUGGAGAGCCUGACCCCGAGAUGGCUCUUCCCCCACCUGAGGACCCCUCAAACGGCCAGACCAAGACCGCCCGGACCUGGGAGUUGUCGGUGGUGUUCCUGUGUUUCUAUGGGUUUAUGGUGCAGCUGAAGCCUGGGGAGCCCUUUAUAACACCAAACCUGCUCAGCAUGGAGAAGAACUUCACCAGGGAACAGGUGACCAAUGAGAUCAACCCGAUCCUGUCCUACUCCUACAUGGCGGUGCUGGUGCCAGUCUUCCUCCUGACAGACGUCUUGCGUUACAAGCCCGUCCUGGUCCUCUCCAGUCUCAGCCAUGUGGCCAUCUGGCUCCUCCUCCUCCUGGGCUCCUCCCUCUUAGAGAUGCAGUUCAUGGAGUUCUUCUACGGCAUCACCAUGGCAGCACGCGUGGCUUACUCCUCCUAUAUCUUCUCCCUGGUCACCCCAGAGCUCUACCAACGUGUGGCCAGCUACUCGCGCUCUUGUGUCCUCAUGGGGGUGUUUGCCAGUUCGGUGCUGGGCCAGGUGCUGAUAUCUGUGGGAAGGCUCUCCUUCGCCACGCUCAGUGCUGUCUCCUUGGCCUUGGUGUCCUUUGGCCUGGUGCUCUCCGUCUGCCUGCCCUGGCCCAAAAGGUCCUUGUUCUUCAACAGGGCCCACCAUGCUGCCCAGAGGAACCUCCAGGAGCAGGCUGCCGCACAGUCGGAGCUGGCCAGGAUGAAGCAGGGCGAAGCGGGCUUGGGUUCGGGUGACACACCCUCCCUGGCCCCUCUCAGCUCUGGUUCCUCCUGGAGGGACUCUGUGUUUAUUCAGAUGCUGAAGGAGCUGAGGAACGUGCCGCGGAGGCCCAGCCUGAGACUGUGGAGCCUGUGGUGGGUGUUCAACUCCGCUGGCUACUACCUGGUGCUGUUGUACAUCCAUGUCCUGUGGAACAAGGUGUACCCCGCCACGGAGAACAAACACGUCUACAACGGAGGGGUGGAGGCUGUCUCCACACUACUGGGUGCGAUCACGUCGUUUGCGGCGGGCUUCGUGAAGAUCCGCUGGAACGUGUGGUCUGAGCUGGUGAUCGGCGUCAUCACGGCUCUACAGGCUGGCCUGCUGCUCCUCAUGGGGACCACCAGCAACAUCUGGGUCUGCUAUGUGGCCUACUCCCUCUUCAAGGGUUUCUACCAGUUCCUCGUGCCCAUCGCCAUUUUCCAGAUCGCUCCGCUCACCAAGGAGCUGUGUGCCCUGGUGUUUGGGGUCAACACUUUCCUGGCGACCGUUCUGAAGACCAUCAUCACCCUCAUCGUCUCUGACAAGAAGGGUCUGGGACUAGACGUGCACUCCCAGUUCCUGGUCUACUUCUUCUACUUUGCCUUGCUGACGGUUAUCUACCUGGGCUGUGCUGCCUGGGUCAUCAUUCGCCACUACAGGAACCAAUCGGCAGGAGGGGGAGGGGACACAGACCAGGCCACGCCCACUGAGCUAUGUUCCGUACCAUCAAACCCCUCAGAGACGGAACCUCUGUCCAAUGGGAACAACGUGAAGGCCUGAAAGGAAUAUUCUGGUAUAUUCUGGUAUGUUGGCAGAGUCAGAUUCAGAGUCAGAUGCAGUUUGAAGGAAUUUGCUAACUAGCGUUAGCCAAAUUGCUAACUUCCGUUAGCAUAAUGACUGGAAGUCUAUCGGAACAGCUAGCAUGCAAGUUGUCCCUGUAGACUUCCUGUCAUUGCGCUAGCUAACGCUAGUUGGCAUUGGCUCGCGAAACUACCUCUAACUUCUUUCAUACUGGAUGCAGAGACAUAAAAAUGGUAUCCAUGAGUUCAUCUGACUGUGUGGAAGUUGAUAAAGGGUCUCCUUGCCAAAAUCCUUAACUAACCCUUGAACAUUGUGUCAUCUUUACAUCAACACCUAAACCCCCUACACUGACUUUGAGUGGUCCCAAACGGUCUGGGAAUCUCUGCUACGGUUUCCACACGACUGCACAAGGACAGAUGAGACUUAGAGGAAGCCCACAUGAAUGUGAAUGUGUAAACUGGAAUAUAGUUGUUAUGAACUACUGCGAAUGAGUUUUGAGGAUUUAGCAAUGAGCUGGCAGACCUUAAUUCUGCAUGUUAUUUUCCAGAAUUUUCGAAUGAGCUAUUUUGUAUUGUUUAAAUGCAGGGGUUCUCAAACGUUUUUGCUUCGUGACCCACCAAUUGAGCUGUGUUUUGAGUCUCCACCCACCAUAAGGGUUGAGUGGUAAAAAAAAACGUACACAGACCAAAGCAUAAAUACAAAAUAUGAUCUUGGCAGCGGACACUAUUUUGCCGUUUCAAAGCUAAUCCCUGCAUUUCCACAUCCUGCCAUGGAGCUGAAAUAAAAAAAUUGCAAUUUUAAAAACAAUUUCCUGCAAUUCUAUGCAUUUUGCCAUGGAGCUGAAAUUUUGUUUGCUUUUAAGCAAAUUUCAUGCAAUUCUAUGCAUUAUGACAUGGCUGUUUUUUUUAUGCACCAACAUAACAUCAGUGGAGGCCUGAUUGUCUAGCUUUUAUUUUGUUGAUUGUAAAUUCUCAGAUUAUAGGCUAUUAUUGAAAAUAUAUAGGUCCGUUCUCUUUUCUGCAUACCAUCCCACAGUUUGGGAACUACUGUUUUAAUGGAACAAUUUAUUUAUCUGUGCAUAAGAGUGAAAUUGGGUUUUCUUAAAUGUUUGUCACAGGAAAUAAAUGCAAAAUGAAUUUGAAAAAUGUAAAUAUCUUUUAGACCUAUGUUUAUUCUUUGGAAUCUGACAACUCUGGGAACUCAUAUCUGGUGUACCCUUUACAUUCUAAAUGUGUUUAUACCAUACUUAAAGUACGCCCAUAAAUGCAGAUUACUCCUAACCAAUUGUUUUUAUUGAAGUUGCCUUUAGUUUAAUUUAAUUGCUGUGCAUAGGAAGUGGUUUGCUGAAUUCCCCUCCCCUUGAGUAAUCUUAGGACCAUCUUACUACAAAACUGAGAAAUCAUGUCAGAAUAUAGACUAUAGUAGUUGAGUGUCUAUUAAUUACAUGUAGGGUGGAUAAAAGAUGUGUGUGAACAAUUACAAGCACUUAACUUGAGAACGCUAUGUACAAUGGGUCCGGAACACGAGAUAUGCAACUUGAACUUUGCACUAUUCUCGAAUUGAUUUAAAAGGUCAUAUCUCAAGGUAGGUUUCAGCCUAUAGUGAUGAGGUUGUAGAGUAUACAAUGAUUUUUACAUGGUCAUAUGGCCUCGUAAACAAAUACAAAGGUAUGAGAUUAAUUGCACCUAAUGGUCUAUAUGCCGUGCAGUAUACUAGCCAACGAGUUCGGUAUAGGAUAAGAUUUGUAACGUUAACUGUCAGAAUUGUUCAUGUUUAUUAUUGUCACACUGACUUCAAUCAAUGCCGAAAAUACACUUUGGGUGAAUGACUGUGAACCUAUUUUGUUGCUGUAAAAAAAAAAAAGAUUUAUGUCAACAUUUUAUUUUUUGAUUUACAAAUAAAUCAGUUUGGAAAAACAAUGUAGCAUUUGUUUGCAAUAAACAUUGAUGACAUUGAGAGAGAUGGCACAGUACAUGUCACCUCAGGAAACUCCUCACCAGGGUCAUACACCGGUUCAUUCAGUGAGCUGCAAUGCUUUGGUCUUUGGAUUAAAAGCCUUAUUUAAUUUCCAUCACAGUGCUUAGACAUGAAAAACACUUAAGAGCACUUUUGAGGAUUUUGAAAACGCAAAAGGACAUUGCAAAACAAAAA
Molecule: RNA transcript, 5419 nt
Organism: Oncorhynchus keta (chum salmon)
Lineage: Eukaryota; Metazoa; Chordata; Actinopteri; Salmoniformes; Salmonidae
Gene name: reduced folate transporter
Exons: 6
Source: RefSeq, a predicted model, not a curated record